RNAcentral lists this ribosomal RNA (2949 nucleotides) under Haemophilus influenzae. RNAcentral describes it as "bacterial LSU rRNA". It matches the Rfam family "Bacterial large subunit ribosomal RNA". Lineage: Bacteria; Pseudomonadati; Pseudomonadota; Gammaproteobacteria; Pasteurellales; Pasteurellaceae. The record is from RNAcentral.
GUUGUAUAUUUAAGUGACUAAGCGUACAAGGUGGAUGCCUUGGCAAUCAGAGGCGAAGAAGGACGUGCUAAUCUGCGAAAAGCUUGGAUGAGUCGAUAAGAGGCGUUUAAUCCAAGAUAUCCGAAUGGGGAAACCCAGUAGAUGAAGAAUCUACUAUCAACAAGUGAAUUCAUAGCUUGUUGAGGCAAACCGGGAGAACUGAAACAUCUAAGUACCCCGAGGAAAAGAAAUCAACCGAGAUUUCGUCAGUAGCGGCGAGCGAAAGCGAAAGAGCCAGUAAGUGAUAGCAGUAUAGUGAGGAGAAUGUGUUGGGAAGCACAAUCAAAGAGGGUGAUAAUCCCGUAUCUAAAAACCAUAUUGUGGUACUAAGCUAACGAGAAGUAGGGCGGGACACGUGAUAUCCUGUUUGAAGAAGGGGGGACCAUCCUCCAAGGCUAAAUACUCCUGAUUGACCGAUAGUGAACCAGUACUGUGAAGGAAAGGCGAAAAGAACCCCGGUGAGGGGAGUGAAAUAGAACCUGAAACCUUGUACGUACAAGCAGUGGGAGCCCCAUCACUUAAUCCGAUUGGAAGGUGAUGAAAAGCAACCGCACUUAAACAAUGGUAAGAGGAGCGAAGCGAGUCAAACCACCCAAAAGAAGCAGUGGGAUUAAGUGAUGGGGUGACUGCGUACCUUUUGUAUAAUGGGUCAGCGACUUAUAUUUUGUAGCGAGGUUAACCGAAUAGGGGAGCCGAAGGGAAACCGAGUCUUAACUGGGCGAAUAGUUGCAAGGUAUAGACCCGAAACCCGGUGAUCUAGCCAUGGGCAGGUUGAAGGUUGGGUAACACUAACUGGAGGACCGAACCGACUAAUGUUGAAAAAUUAGCGGAUGACUUGUGGCUGGGGGUGAAAGGCCAAUCAAACCGGGAGAUAGCUGGUUCUCCCCGAAAUCUAUUUAGGUAGAGCCUUGAGGUGACACCUUUGGGGGUAGAGCACUGUUUCGGCUAGGGGGCCAUCCCGGCUUACCAACCCGAUGCAAACUACGAAUACCAAAGAGUGAUACUCAGGAGACACACGGCGGGUGCUAACGUCCGUCGUGGAGAGGGAAACAACCCAGACCGCCAGCUAAGGUCCCCAAGUCUAUAUUAAGUGGGAAACGAAGUGGGAAGGCUUAGACAGCUAGGAUGUUGGCUUAGAAGCAGCCAUCAUUUAAAGAAAGCGUAAUAGCUCACUAGUCGAGUCGGCCUGCGCGGAAGAUGUAACGGGGCUGAAAUAUAGCACCGAAGCUGCGGCAUCAGNNGAGAGGUGGGCUGGACGUAUCACAAGUGCGAAUGCUGACAUAAGUAACGAUAAAACGGGUGAAAAACCCGUUCGCCGGAAGACCAAGGGUUCCUGUCCAACGUUAAUCGGGGCAGGGUGAGUCGGCUCCUAAGGCGAGGCUGAAAAGCGUAGUCGAUGGGAAACAGGUUAAUAUUCCUGUACUUGGUAAAGCUGCGAUGUGGGGACGGAGUAGGUUAGGUUAUCGCACUGUUGGAUAUGUGCGUUUAAGUUGGUAGGUGGGAAGUUUAGGCAAAUCCGGGCUUCCUUAACACAGAGAGAUGAUGACGAGGCUCUACGGAGCUGAAGUAACUAAUACCACACUUCCAGGAAAAGCCACUAAGCGAAAGGCUUUACUAAACCGUACUGAAAACCGACACAGGUGGUCAGGUAGAGAAUACUCAGGCGCUUGAGAGAACUCGGGUGAAGGAACUAGGCAAAAUAGCACCGUAACUUCGGGAGAAGGUGCGCCGGCGUAGAUUGUAAGGGCUAGCCCCUGAAGGUUGAACCGGUCGAAGAUACCAGCUGGCUGCAACUGUUUAUUAAAAACACAGCACUCUGCAAACACGAAAGUGGACGUAUAGGGUGUGAUGCCUGCCCGGUGCUGGAAGGUUAAUUGAUGGUGUAAUCGCAAGAGAAGCACCUGAUCGAAGCCCCAGUAAACGGCGGCCGUAACUAUAACGGUCCUAAGGUAGCGAAAUUCCUUGUCGGGUAAGUUCCGACCUGCACGAAUGGCAUAAUGAUGGCCAGGCUGUCUCCACCCGAGACUCAGUGAAAUUGAAAUCGCCGUGAAGAUGCGGUGUACCCGCGGCUAGACGGAAAGACCCCGUGAACCUUUACUAUAGCUUGACACUGAACAUUGAAUUUUGAUGUGUAGGAUAGGUGGGAGACUUAGAAGUAGUCACGCCAGUGAUUAUGGAGUCGACCUUGAAAUACCACCCUUUAACGUUUGAUGUUCUAACGAAGAUGACGAAACGUGGUCUCGGACAGUGUCUGGUGGGUAGUUUGACUGGGGCGGUCUCCUCCCAAAGCGUAACGGAGGAGCACGAAGGUUUGCUAAUCACGGUCGGACAUCGUGAGGUUAGUGCAAUGGUAUAAGCAAGCUUAACUGCGAGACAGACAAGUCGAGCAGGUACGAAAGUAGGUCAUAGUGAUCCGGUGGUUCUGAAUGGAAGGGCCAUCGCUCAACGGAUAAAAGGUACUCCGGGGAUAACAGGCUGAUACCGCCCAAGAGUUCAUAUCGACGGCGGUGUUUGGCACCUCGAUGUCGGCUCAUCACAUCCUGGGGCUGAAGUAGGUCCCAAGGGUAUGGCUGUUCGCCAUUUAAAGUGGUACGCGAGCUGGGUUUAGAACGUCGUGAGACAGUUCGGUCCCUAUCUGCCGUGGGCGUAGGAGAAUUGGUUGGGGCUGCUCCUAGUACGAGAGGACCGGAGUGGACGCACCACUGGUGUUCCGGUUGUGUCGCCAGACGCAUUGCCGGGUAGCUAAGUGCGGAAGAGAUAAGUGCUGAAAGCAUCUAAGCACGAAACUUGCCAAGAGAUGAGUUCUCCCAAUCUAAGAGAUAGUAAGGGUUGUUGUAGACUACGACGUAGAUAGGUCUCGUGUGUAAGUGUAGUGAUAAAUUGAGCUAACAGAUACUAAUUGCCCGAGAG